CCUACGAGAGGCUGCAGUGAGGAAUAUUGGUCAAUGGGCGGAAGCCUGAACCAGCCAAGUAGCGUGCAGGAUGACGGCCCUACGGGUUGUAAACUGCUUUUAUACGGGAAUAACGCGCCUUACGUGUAGGGCUUUGCAUGUACCGUAUGAAUAAGGACCGGCUAAUUCCGUGCCAGCAGCCGCGGUAAUACGGAAGGUCCGGGCGUUAUCCGGAUUUAUUGGGGUUAAAGGGAGCGUAGGCCGCAUGUCAAGCGUGCUGUGAAACGUCCGGGCUCAACCCGGGCCUUGCAGCGCGAACUGGCAGGCUUGAGUCGGCGAGAGGCAGGCGGAAUUCGUGGUGUAGCGGUGAAAUGCUUAGAUAUGACGAAGAACCCCGAUUGCGAAGGCAGCUUGCUGCAGCGGAACUGACGCUGAUGCUCGAAAGCGCGGGUAUCGAACAGGAUUAGAUACCCGUGUAGUC
This 460-nucleotide ribosomal RNA is filed under the name uncultured bacterium. Its description in RNAcentral is "partial 16S ribosomal RNA". It matches the Rfam family "Bacterial small subunit ribosomal RNA", at positions 338 to 795 of the family's 1533-position model. The record is from RNAcentral.